RNAcentral lists this ribosomal RNA (1251 nucleotides) under metagenome. Its description in RNAcentral is "SSU rRNA". It matches the Rfam family "Eukaryotic small subunit ribosomal RNA", at positions 499 to 1748 of the family's 1831-position model. The record is from RNAcentral.
GGUCUGGUAAUUGGAAUGAGUACAAUUUAAAUCCCUUAACGAGGAUCCAUUGGAGGGCAAGACUGGUGCCAGCAGCCGCGGUAAUACCAGCUCCAAUAGCGUAUAUUAAAGUUGUUGCAGUUAAAAAGCUCGUAGUUGGAUAUCUGGCUUAGGCUGCCUAGUCUGCCGAGCCUCCUUCUUGGAGGUGAGGUGUGAACUGGGAUGUUCGCUUUUGCCAUCCUUCUAGGUGAGCCCUCGGGCGAACCUGGAUCUUUUACUUUGAAAAAAUUAGAGUGUUCAAAGCAGGCGGUAAUGCUGUGAAUACGUUAGCAUGGAAUAAUGAAAUAGGACUUUGGUUCUGUUUUGUUGGUUCAUAGGACUGAAGUAAUGAUUGAUAGGGAUAGUUGGGGGUGCUUGUAUUGAACGGCCAGAGGCGAAAUUCUUGGAUUCGUUCAAGACAAACUACUGCGAAAGCAUUCACCAAGGAUGUCUUCUUUAAUCAAGAACGAAAGUAGGGGGAUCGAAGACGAUCAGAUACCGUCGUAGUCCUAACCAUAAACGAUGCCGACUAAGGAUCGGUAGGUGUUGUUUUUAUGACCCUAUCGGCACUUUACGAGAAAUCAAAGUUUUUGGGUUCCGGGGGGAGUAUGGUCGCAAGGCUGAAACUUAAAGGAAUUGACGGAGGGGCACCACAAGGAGUGGAGCCUGCGGCUUAAUUUGACCCAACGCGGGGAAACUUACCAGGUCCGGACUCAGUUAGGAUUGACAGAUUGCAGAUCUUUCUUGAUUCUGAGGGUGGUGGUGCAUGGCCGUUCUUAGUUGGUGGAGUGAUUUGUCUGGUUAAUUCCGUUAACGAACGAGACCUCAGCCUGCUAAAUAGUCGAGUGUAUGAAUAAUAUUCAUACAUGUAAAAUCUUUUCGACUUCUUAGAGGGACUGUCUGUAUCUAGCAGAAGGAAGUGUGAGGCAAUAACAGGUCUGUGAUGCCCUUAGAUGUCCUGGGCCGCACGCGGGCUACAAUGUUGCAUGCAACCAGUUUAAGUAACCUCCUUGACCGAAAGGUCUGGGUAAUCUUUAAAAGUGCAACGUGCUUGGGAUAGACCAUUGCUAUUAUUGGUCUUCAACCAGGAAUUCCUAGUAAACGCGAGUCAUCAGCUCGCAUUGAUUACGUCCCUGCCCUUUGUACACACCGCCCGUCGCUCCUACCGAUUGAAUGAUCCGGCGAAAUCUUUGGACCGUUAGUUGUUGGCUGGUUUUCCAGCUCGCAGCUUCU